AUUGAACGCUGGCGGCAUGCUUUACACAUGCAAGUCGAACGGUAACAGGCCUUCGGGUGCUGACGAGUGGCGAACGGGUGAGUAAUGCAUCUGAACGUCCCCAUAGUUGUGGGAUAACGCAUCUAAAGCUGUGCUAAUACCGCACGUGCUCUGAGGAUGAAAGCGGGGGACCACUCAGCACUGUUUGGCCUCGCGCCUUUUGAGCUGCCGAUGUCAGAUUAGGUAGUUGGUGGGGUAAAGGCCUACCAAGCCGACGAUCUGUAGCUGGUCUGAGAGGACGACCAGCCACACUGGGACUGAGACACGGCCCAGACUCCUACGGGAGGCAGCAGUGGGGAAUUUUGGACAAUGGGCGAAAGCCUGAUCCAGCAAUGCCGCGUGCGGGAAGAAGGCCUUCGGGUUGUAAACCGCUUUUGUACGGAACGAAAAGGAUCUGGCUAAUACCUGGGGCUGAUGACGGUACCGUAAGAAUAAGCACCGGCUAACUACGUG
This 492-nucleotide ribosomal RNA is filed under the name uncultured bacterium. RNAcentral describes it as "partial 16S ribosomal RNA". It matches the Rfam family "Bacterial small subunit ribosomal RNA", at positions 30 to 507 of the family's 1533-position model. The record is from RNAcentral.